UACAGAGGGGGCAAGCGUUAUUCGGAAUUAUUGGGCGUAAAGGGCGCGUAGGCGGUUCGUACAGUCAGACGUGAAAUUCCUGGGCUCAACCUGGGGGCUGCGUUUGAUACGUGCGGGCUUGAGUUCGGAAGAGGGUCGUGGAAUUCCCAGUGUAGAGGUGAAAUUCGUAGAUAUUGGGAAGAACACCGGUGGCGAAGGCGGCGACCUGGUCCGAUACUGACGCUGAGGCGCGAAAGCGUGGGGAGCAAACAGG
This 253-nucleotide ribosomal RNA is filed under the name uncultured bacterium. Its description in RNAcentral is "partial 16S ribosomal RNA". It matches the Rfam family "Bacterial small subunit ribosomal RNA", at positions 524 to 776 of the family's 1533-position model. The record is from RNAcentral.